RNAcentral lists this ribosomal RNA (253 nucleotides) under uncultured bacterium. Its description in RNAcentral is "partial 16S ribosomal RNA". It matches the Rfam family "Bacterial small subunit ribosomal RNA", at positions 524 to 776 of the family's 1533-position model. The record is from RNAcentral.
UCCGGAGGGUGCAAGCGUUAUCCGGAUUCACUGGGUUUAAAGGGUGCGUAGGUGGGCAAGUAAGUCAGUGGUGAAAUCUCCGGGCUUAACCCGGAAACUGCCAUUGAUACUAUUUGUCUUGAAUACUGUGGAGGUCAGCGGAAUAUGUCAUGUAGCGGUGAAAUGCUUAGAUAUGACAUAGAACACCAAUUGCGAAGGCAGCUGGCUACACAAAUAUUGACACUGAGGCACGAAAGCGUGGGGAUCAAACAGG